This 206-nucleotide ribosomal RNA is filed under the name uncultured bacterium. RNAcentral's name for it is "partial 16S ribosomal RNA". It matches the Rfam family "Bacterial small subunit ribosomal RNA", at positions 568 to 774 of the family's 1533-position model. The record is from RNAcentral.
UGCGUAGGUGGCAGAUCAAGUCUGGAGUAAAAGGUAUGGGCUCAACCCGUACUGGCUCUGGAAACUGAUCGGCUAGAGAACAGAAGAGGACGGCGGAACUCCAUGUGUAACGGUAAAAUGCGUAGAUAUAUGGAAGAACACCGGUGGCGAAGGCGGCCGUCUGGUCUGGAUUCUGACACUGAAGCACGAAAGCGUGGGAGCAAAUA